UGUAUUACUGGGCCUUAGAAUAGCAGGAUAUAACGUAUAAAAAGAAAAGUACAAGACAGGCUGAAUUCAGGAAUACAGAGUAUACAUAAACGUUUGGGUAAGCCAAAGGUCAAGGAAUACAGAAGUCAGAAUAGUCAGGAAACGAUCCAAAGUCCAAGGGAUACAGAAAUCAGAAUAGUCAGUGAGAAAGCCAAGGUCAAAAUACACAAGAAUCAAUACCAGAAACACGCUCUCAGAUAACCACAAUGGAAACCACAAC
This is a non-coding RNA of Pelobates cultripes (western spadefoot toad), 259 nucleotides long. NCBI's taxonomy places the organism in Eukaryota, Metazoa, Chordata, Amphibia, Anura, Pelobatidae. The record is from the annotation of a GenBank genome assembly.